RNAcentral lists this transfer RNA (67 nucleotides) under Coleoptera sp. 2 AH-2016. RNAcentral's name for it is "tRNA-Leu". It matches the Rfam family "tRNA". From Rfam's summary of the family: Transfer RNA (tRNA) molecules are approximately 80 nucleotides in length. Their secondary structure includes four short double-helical elements and three loops (D, anti-codon, and T loops). Further hydrogen bonds mediate the characteristic L-shaped molecular structure. tRNAs have two regions of fundamental functional importance: the anti-codon, which is responsible for specific mRNA codon recognition, and the 3' end, to which the tRNAs corresponding amino acid is attached (by aminoacyl-tRNA synthetases). tRNAs cope with the degeneracy of the genetic code in two manners: having more than one tRNA (with a specific anti-codon) for a particular amino acid; and 'wobble' base-pairing, i.e. permitting non-standard base-pairing at the 3rd anti-codon position. The record is from RNAcentral. Lineage: Eukaryota; Metazoa; Arthropoda; Insecta; Coleoptera.
UCUAAUAUGGCAGAAUAGUGCUUUGGAUUUAAACCCCAAAUAUAAAGCCAAUAGACUUUUUUUAGAA